Cydia pomonella (codling moth) is the source of this 1424-nucleotide long non-coding RNA. RefSeq lists it as uncharacterized. The record is from RefSeq and is a predicted model, not a curated record. The transcript has 2 exons. NCBI's taxonomy places the organism in Eukaryota, Metazoa, Arthropoda, Insecta, Lepidoptera, Tortricidae.
CUUGUAAAAAAUACUGCAGAUAUACGUGCAGAUAUGGUAUAUCACGGUGUUAUCAUUCUUGGAUUUCGAUAAUGCUUUAAACACGGGUGACUUCGACAUCUUAGUACGCAUAUUGUGUUCUCUUACUUAAUGUAUUUCCUGUGACAGUGAACUAGUUCCAUAGUUAUUAAGUGGGGCGUCAACAGAGGUGAAUUGCUUUUAAUCUUCAUUGUGCCUGCAUAGGACGGGGCAGCGUGUUGUCUCCUGUUUCAUUUCCUUACUUUAUUAACUCUAACACGUCAUAUUUUCUUCUUCUACCACUUUAAACAUACUGUCAAGGCUCUUUUACUCAUCUACCAUAGACUAUCUGCACCAUGAACAUGAACACUAAUUUAGAAAGCAUUUUGAUUUGGAUUUUCACGUUACGGUCUCAAGGUUAAUCCACCGAAAUUUAAGUUAUAGUGAUAGGUACCUAGGUCAAAGUGUUCAAAGUGUAUUUUCUUCUACCACAUUGAUCAUGGCUGGUUCACAAGACUCUCUGCAGCCGGCAUUGCAAGCACGCCGCGAAGAGCAGCGUCGCCGAGAAGAGCAGCAGCGGCGAGAUGCGGAGCGUCGUCAAGAAGAGAAGCGGCAACGAGAGGAGCAGGCUCGGCGAGCUGGGGAGAGUCGCAAAGAACAUGAGCGUCGGCAAGAUCAGCUUGUAACGUUAUACGUUACAUGAAAGUACUAUUAUUUAAAUAAACUACAUGAAUAAAUGAAGAUACAACUUAAAACUAAUUUUACAAAUUAAUAUUUUCAAUUUUAAACAUAAACAUGCAACAAGUCUUCGUCGGCGCCGUUUUAGCGCUCUUCGAAAGAUUUCGUAUGCCACAUUUUAGCGCUCACGGUAACGAGUUCUUUUGUUUGUCGAAUAUACUUAUAGGGAGUUGCAUUAGCGGAUCGCUCCCACCAUUCCCGAACUGCACUCGAGAUAGAACACACGUCACACGGAUCAUCGGUCUCUGAUACGUACCUAAUUUUGGAAAAUGUAACCGAUAUGAUAUAAUUAAUAUGCGUGUUGUCAUCUCUAAACGUUCCUCAAAGUGUUUAGCGUCGUAAAUACGUUAAAUGUUAUAAUGCGAGUGUGAAUAAACACCAAAUUGGGGUCCAACGUUCGGGCUGCUAUUUUGGGUGGAGGUUCCACCGCAGCCACACCUACCACCAACGCUACUCUCGCCAGUAGAAGGGCGAGCUCUUCAUCAAGCCCCGGGCAGCCAAGUACAGUCGUCCACAAUUGCGGCGCCCGACGGCACAACCCAGGCGAGAGUACCUAACCGCAAAAUGGAUAGGAUCUUUGUGUGAAUUUAUAAAACCAAACCUGCGACCCAUUUUAGUUAAGUGGCCCCCGCGUAUUCCUUAUCGUUGUUUUUUUAUUUUUUAUUUUAAAUUAAAUAUUUUUUAUUUUG